AUUUUAUUCAUUAUGCAUUUUUAUUUCGUUUCAUGACAUUCAUUUUUUAUCAAUUAUGGACUUUUGACGUGGUCAAUACGUUACAUAUGACCCUGUUCAGAUUAUAUUGACCAUAGACGAUAUCCGAUUGUCAAUAUAAUCUAACAGGUCCAUAUAUUACGUAUAGUGAAAGUCCCUAAGUUUUAUAUUACAUAUUUUCGAUCAGUGUGCUAUGUGUAUUUUUAAUCUGUAUUUUGCAAGAAUUUUAACAUGUAAUUGAAAAUAUCAAUAUUUUUUAUUAUCAAUUUCAUAGCUUGUUACAUAUGCUUUCUUGUUAUUUUUAGCUUCUUCUUUCAACAUAAAGGAGUAGGUCCGGUAAGGACCGAUUUUGGCCUCAAAUUUCAGGUUCAUCUGACGUAAGAUUUUUACCAUUUUUUAUACACUUAAGU
Molecule: long non-coding RNA, 428 nt
Filed under: Mytilus galloprovincialis (Mediterranean mussel)
Lineage: Eukaryota; Metazoa; Mollusca; Bivalvia; Mytilida; Mytilidae
Source: RNAcentral